GGACCAAGGAGUCUAGCAUGUGCGCGAGUCGUUGGGACUUGCGAAACCUAAAGGCGAAAUGAAAGUGAAGGCCCGCCCCGCGCGGGCCGAGGGAGGAUGGGCCGCGUCACGACGCGGCCCCGCACUCCCGGGGCGUCUCGUUCUCAUUGCGAGAAGAGGCGCACCCAGAGCGUACACGCUGGGACCCGAAAGAUGGUGAACUAUGCCUGGUCAGGACGAAGUCAGGGGAAACCCUGAUGGAGGUCCGUAGCGAUUCUGACGUGCAAAUCGAUCGUCGGAACUGGGUAUAGGGGCGAAAGACUAAUCGAACCAUCUAGUAGCUGGUUCCCUCCGAAGUUUCCCUCAGGAUAGCUGGCGCUCGCUUUUGCGAGUCUCAUCCGGUAAAGCGAAUGAUUAGAGGCAUUGGGGUCGAAACGGCCUCAACCUAUUCUCAAACUUUAAAUGGGUGAGAUCUCCGGCUUGCUCAAACUUGAAGCCGCGAGAUUAACUUAAUAUAAGGAUCAGAGUGCCAAGUGGGCCACUUUUGGUAAGCAGAACUGGCGCUGUGGGAUGAACCAAACGCAGAGUUA
This 569-nucleotide ribosomal RNA is filed under the name Hydrophilidae sp. 18 MTM-2009. RNAcentral describes it as "eukaryotic LSU rRNA". It matches the Rfam family "Eukaryotic large subunit ribosomal RNA", at positions 663 to 1182 of the family's 3401-position model. The record is from RNAcentral. Lineage: Eukaryota; Metazoa; Arthropoda; Insecta; Coleoptera; Hydrophilidae.